UAACAACCAUGAAGCGAUAACUUAAGUUCCGUAAGAGAAAAUAAGAAAGGAGAAUGAAGAAAGAAAAAAAAAACGAAAGGACCAAUUUUAAAUAUGUACAGCACCAAGAUGAGUCCUGUCCGAAAGUAAAAAAACCACUUCGAGGACACACGUAAACAAGGGUAAUCUAAAAACAAAGAAUAGGCUCGUCUAUUGAGCGAUACUAUCCAAUCCAAACACUUUUAAAAGGAUUAUUAAGAAAAUAUACAAUUUACGAUCCCUUUGUUUCGUAUUAACACUUCGUAUCGAUCAAAUAAAAAAUCCUUACUAUUCUUUCAAACAAAGAACGUACUGUAUCACAUUCAAUGUUACACUGAUGGAGUUAUUAUCUUAUUUGAACAGCAGACAUAAAAAAUUCGAAACUUUUCAAAAAGAGGAAGGAAAGAAAUCGAUACGAAAGGUAAAAAAUAGUGGAAAUCAGGCGGACUCCAAACGCCAGAUACAAACACGGAUAUUAGUAAUAUUAAGCAGGGAAACCGAGCUGGAUGUUUAUUCCUUAGCUAUAUAAAACUAAUAUUUAAUAUUAAGCCUUUAUUACCACUUUACCAAGCCUAAGAGAGAAAACUCGGUGUUUAUUGGAAAAGUGGUACUAACAAGUGUGGGAAGUAUGUUUGACAGAUUCAUUACAUUAGAGGCAGUCAGCCAAGCGUAUAAAUAAGGGGUAUGCACUUGUCCGAAUAUCACGCUUUACAAUUGAAAAGUUACAAAUUCAAGUUUUUACUAAAAAGAAUUCUUUCCAAUCGAGUUGGAUGGAAACGUGUUAUGUGCGAGUCAGUCUGUGUAUACUACAUGAAUCAACCGCAUUGGCGUUGAAGCGAAAGGAAAAAGAGUACUAUAAUAUUAUAUUUGCGACUGAAGUUUAAGAGAUAAUUGAUUUUGAUUAUACGUAAAAAGAGCAAGCUGUUG
Schizosaccharomyces pombe (fission yeast) is the source of this 945-nucleotide non-coding RNA. Lineage: Eukaryota; Fungi; Ascomycota; Schizosaccharomycetes; Schizosaccharomycetales; Schizosaccharomycetaceae. The record is from the annotation of a GenBank genome assembly.